UGCAAUGGUGUUGCAUACCCACAAGUCAAAUAAAAACUCCCUAAAUUCUAAAUUAUUUAUUUAUUAUUCAAACUUCCCUAGUAACCCUGCACAACCCCUAAGCACAAAUCAAAUAUCCAGAACAGAAAUGGCCCACAAAUCCUGUUUUGUGCACAAAUAUCUGCAGUGACUGAUUUAAUUGAUAGGUAUCUUCAAUAUUUAUUAGAAAAGUGAUAAAUAAGUGAUGGCUUAAAUAUUUUGGAAAAUAUUUCAAUCAUGGAACAACCAAUUAUAGAUCCGCCCAUACCCCUAGUCGGUCCUAUUGGAGGUAGAUUUAGCCCUGGCAAGGUUAUUCGUAUAAAAGGUGCUGUCCCGUCAAUAGCAAAUAGAUUUGAUAUAAACCUACAAUGCGGUCCACAGACUGCACCGAGAGACGACAUCGUGCUCCAGAUUGCUGUACGAAUACUCGACGGUUUCAUAGCCCUGAAUUCCUUGCAAAACGGGAUAUGGGACGACGAAUUAAAAGGUCACACACAGCCGAUCAAGCGGGCAGAUCACUUCGAGAUGGUCAUCGUGUGCGACUUCAAUAAGUUUAUGGUUUCAAUAAACGAUCAAUUAGUUUGCGAUUAUCCGCAAAGAAUCCAUUAUGAUCGUAUUACGCAUUUAGUGAUCGAGGGUGAGGUGACGGUAGCCGAAAUAUCCGACGGGUCGCAAGCAUCCGGGAAACCUCCCUCGUAUUCGGAGGUUGUAAAUGUGCCUCCCUACCCCCAAGAUUUGUCUGCCACAUCACCACCCACUCAUAAUUCGGCUACAGUGACAGUCACAUCGGAUUCGUCCCCGACUGCACCAGAAUUGAUUCCACUGACUGGUGCAGAACUUAAUGCGCCACUAUCUAAGCCGGUGGAAGAUAUACUUUCGGGAAAUUAUGACUGGAAUUAUUAUCGUUGGACAUUUUGCAAAGUUAACUAAAGCACGGGACAUGAGAAUCGAGUUAGUCGUUAUCACUGUGGUAGAAGUAACGAUAAUAGUUACAUCGCAAUUGGCAUUAUAAAGGAUAAAAAAUCAGAGCCGAUGGGAAGAGUUGGAAUAUUUGUUUUUUUUCUUGUUAACAUCAUUCUGGGCAUUCUUCUACUCACAUGGGUUAUGUUUAAUGCAUAAACUGCUUUCAGAAUUAGGCAAGCGGUUUUUGUUAAUUCCACCUUGGGUAAGCUAUUUUGUUUCAGUUUCAUUUAAAAAAUGAAUUGAAAAUUUUGAAGUCUGAUUGUGAGUCAGAAAAGCUAGCGCGCAGAAUCAUACCUGAUCAGUGAUCACAGUGGCAGUGCGCGUCCGUUAUGCCGCCACUGGUAAAAAAGCCUGCAGUUGGGUGUAAUAUUCACACAACUAAUUUUUUGUACAAUGUUUCUGUAACCUUUUAUUUAUGAGUGAGAAGAAGAAAACACUUCCAUCCUGCCAGAGUUAACUGUGUAGGUAGUCUUAGCAAAACAAAAGUAAAUGCAUUCAUACGAAUUUUAUAAUCGCUAUAUGCUUCUACCUUAUAUAAUAUUGUAAGCAAUAAUGCUUGUGGUAAUAGUAAAAGUACCAUGUUAAUGAAGUCGCGUGUGAUCCAUCACCCAAAACGCUCUUUAACUGACAUCUUUUUAAUACACCAUAAUAAAUAAAUUGAGAACGUGUCACCCGUCACUCAAAGACUAUGAUCUUUGCGUCAUUACAACUGAAAAACGACAUUUUGGUUUGUGAGCCAUGAGAUCCAUACAUUUUGUGCGAUGAGUCAUACACAACUUACUUUUAAUUAAAGUAUAGGUAUCGCUAGCUUACAAUUGACAACCAUUUAUAAUACGCAUUUUUUGCCUUUCAAAUGACAUGCCGAGAUCUUCAGAUUUGAAUGCAACUGACCCUGUUGCUGGUCCUACACAUUACAGUUGCCAUUCGGCUUUGCACGAUCGCCAAGAAGGUUUCUAUUGAAAUGUAAAUGUAUCGGGCUUCUACUUUCAUACGCACAGAUAGCUAACAAUAUGCUUCCUUUAUAUAUGAUAAUGAUAUAAUAACCUCCUCCACCUUUGUUUCAUUCAAUAUCAAAAAUUGAUUUGGUUGCAUUUCAAAAACAUCGCUAUUGCACCUUUCAAUACUUAUCAUUUGACAAUAUUGCAUCUAUUUGCUUUGGACACCAGCAGUUAUCAGUUUUGUUUAGCGUAGGCUUCAAGUUUUUAAUUGCGCUUCAAAAUGCAUCUAUUCCACAACCAGGAGAUCAAUCUCGUUUCGAAUCCCAGUUCGAGACCUAGUGUUCCAUUAUCUGUGGUCUUCCCCGAUCUUGCAUGCCAUUGAUAAAUAUUCUCGCAGUUUACUAUCGCAUAAACCAAAGUUAAAGCUACUGGCAACCGUAUUGCAGCCAGCAACAAUGUUAAAUCAUGUGGUUUGCCUUACCGUUCCAAAUAAUUUUGUUUGCAGCGUUCACAUCAAACUGUAAGCAAACUGUACUAAAUUCGGCAGCCUAGUUAUAGUAUCUAUUUUAAUAGAAAACUAGUUUUACACUUCCAAUUUUAGGUAGGUAUAGGAUGUUAAAUGACUACCAACAAAAAUUUAGCUGUAAUCUAAUUAUAGCUCUCUAUAUACAAUAGAAGAUAAAUGAUUGUAGUAUAUCAUUCAUAAAUCAUGAAAUUUGUGCCUUCCAUUUGCACUGUGUGUUCCAUUGAGGGAUGCUGCACUGCUUACUAAAAAACUAUGUAAGUACACAUAGAUUUUGCGAUUUGUUUUUAACUUAUGGUUGCACCGUUUAAAAUUUCUAUUGUGAUUGCUCAAUUUGCUAGAUAUUUGUGUCACAGCACAAAAUAGCCUACCUUUCUCAUUGUAAUGACUGUGUUUAUCUUUAUAUUGUUAUAAUAAAUUGUUUUUGCACGAGACAUUUUAUAAUACCUACAAUAUGUUUGAUCUUUUUGAGUUUUCCACCAGUACUGAAUCCUUUGUUUGAUCUUCCUAUCAAGAUUUCC
RNA transcript from Photinus pyralis (common eastern firefly), 2963 nucleotides. It is a transcript of the gene named galectin-7-like, with no coding region annotated. The record is from RefSeq and is a predicted model, not a curated record. NCBI's taxonomy places the organism in Eukaryota, Metazoa, Arthropoda, Insecta, Coleoptera, Lampyridae. The transcript is spliced from 5 exons.